Manis pentadactyla (Chinese pangolin) is the source of this 270-nucleotide long non-coding RNA. RefSeq lists it as uncharacterized. The transcript is spliced from 3 exons. The record is from RefSeq and is a predicted model, not a curated record. Lineage: Eukaryota; Metazoa; Chordata; Mammalia; Pholidota; Manidae.
CUGACUAGUGCCGGAAUUGCUCCGGCUCCCGUGCAGUUCCGUGACACCGCUGGCCGCCUCCGCAGGGAGGGCUCGGUUUCCUGAGAAGCUGCGGUAGGGAAAGGACUAUGACAGUUUUUUUGAAUCAAAGGAGAGCUACACGGUCUUCUCAUUCUUAGGCCUGAAAUCGCAGUUGGCCUCAAAGGCAGUGGCCGGAUGUGGAUCCCUGUGUUGUCCCACAAGUGGCUGGAAUCUCAAGUCUCGUGAAGUCUCCGCCUGUCUUUGCUUUCC